This is a long non-coding RNA of Alosa sapidissima (American shad), 960 nucleotides long. RefSeq lists it as uncharacterized. NCBI's taxonomy places the organism in Eukaryota, Metazoa, Chordata, Actinopteri, Clupeiformes, Clupeidae. The transcript has 3 exons. The record is from RefSeq and is a predicted model, not a curated record.
GUGUUUGGCCCAUGUGGAAGCGUUCAUUGACUUCAGUGAGGAUGAGCUCAUCGAGGAUGGGGUCUUAAAUCAAGUGGAUGAGUCCUUGUCUCAGCUGUUGCAGGAGAUUGAGGAGCACCUGAGUGACGAGCGCAAAGGAGAACGCCUACGCAGUGGCGUGCAGGUGGUGAUCGCCGGGGCAACCAACGCAGGCAAGAGCAGCCUGCUCAACCUGCUGUGCCAGCGCCCUGCAGCCAUCGUGUCUCCAGUGGCCGGGACCACCAGAGACGUAGUGGAGACGUGUGUGGACAUUGGCGGGUUUCCUGUCCUGCUCAGUGACACUGCGGGCUUAAGAGACACUCUGGAUAGUGUGGAGAGAGGGGGGGUGCGGCGGGCCCGUGAGAGGCAAGCACAACUACAUUUGCUUGUCAUACCACUUACACAACCAAUGUAAACAUAUCGUGUUAUAACUCAGUGAUAUAACAGUGUCAUAUUAACAGUACCAGUAUUUGUCAUAACAACAUGUUUUAAUUCAUAUGACUGCUUAGUAGCAUGUGACAUAAUCUGUUAUGACAUACUUAAUGUUAGGCAUUGUAAUUAUUCACAAUAUUAGUAAAAUGAGGCUGUGAUAUCCUUGAGUGACUGCAUGACAUCUGCCAUGCUAUUUUUUAUGACAUCAGGAAUUGGCGGAGGGUCCAAGUUCAGUGAUAUGUACUACAGACUUUUGUUUAAACUAAUUUACAACACAGAGACAUGUAGCACAGUGCGAGGUUCUUAUCAGUACUCCCAAGGAAGUGUUGGUCUGGCAUCUCUAGUGUUGUGACCUCAUUCCAUUCCGAUCACCUAUGGAAUUUCAAGAGCCACAAACAAGGCUAUUAGAAUCUGGAACAUUUUAAGUAAACAGUCUGAAGGGUUUCGUUUUUGUUGUGUCAAUUACAGUACAUAAGAGAGAGUGAGAACAGUACUGCGUGUUCUACAUGU